Molecule: signal recognition particle RNA, 69 nt
Filed under: Metapseudomonas otitidis
Lineage: Bacteria; Pseudomonadati; Pseudomonadota; Gammaproteobacteria; Pseudomonadales; Pseudomonadaceae
Description: partial signal recognition particle sRNA small type
Rfam family: Bacterial small signal recognition particle RNA
About the family: The signal recognition particle (SRP) is a universally conserved ribonucleoprotein involved in the co-translational targeting of proteins to membranes.
Source: RNAcentral
GAACCCGGUCAGGCCCGGAAGGGAGCAGCCGCAGCGGUGACAUCGAGUGCCGGGGUGUGGCUGGUGGGG